GUGCUGAAUUGUCUCUGGAGAGCAACUUUCCUGACUUCAUUGGUGAAAUUGUAGCCUUUUGAUUCAAGACACUGCUAUUAGUUUCUGUGUCUUUUAGAUGAAAUUUCAAGAGAGAAUUUUGAGACUACUGGCCAGCCAGUAGCUUGCCUCUUCCUUCCUCUGUUCCUCAGCCACAGCUAACUGCAGGUUCCCCUAGGCUUACUCAGAAGGAACAAUGGACUGAGCACAGGGCAAGCUAAAAGGGAUGUUGAGCUUGGGUAGAGCCUGGAUCAGAGUAGCACUCAUGGAAAAACAUUUAUCUGAAUACAUCUCUACAGCUCUGAGAGACUUCAAAACAACCAGGAGAUUUUAUGAAGAUGGAGCAAUUGUCUUGGGUGAAGAAGCAAAUAUGCUUGCCGGCAUGCUUCUAGGACUCAAUGCUAUUGAUUUCAGUUUCUGCCUAAAGGGAGAGGGGCUGGAUGGCAGUUUUCCUGCUGUAAUAGACUAUACACCAUAUUUGAAGUAUAUCCAAAGUUCUGAUAGUAUCAGCAGUGAUGAGGAGGAGCUAAGGACUUUGGGAAGCAGUGGUAGCGAAAGCAGUACUCCAGAGA
Molecule: small RNA, 590 nt
Filed under: Pongo abelii (Sumatran orangutan)
Lineage: Eukaryota; Metazoa; Chordata; Mammalia; Primates; Hominidae
Description: processed transcript
Source: RNAcentral